CUCAUCCGACUACUCGACACUCCAACUAAGUGGAAUCUAGAACAUAAUAAUAUGUUAACAAUCGAGUUUAAGGUGCAAAAAUUAUCUACUCAAUCAUACCGACGAGCAAAAACUCUCUAUUAUAAGCAUUUAAUUAAAAAUGACAGUCAGAUACAUUAAAGCUCUCGUUAUAUGCGGGUCCGGGGAAGGACCGGACCACAAGGGUCUAUUAUUCGCAGCCUUGUCUUGCAUAUCUGCAAGAGAUUAUUUUUACAAUUUGAACCCGUGACCUCCUGGUCACAUAACAGCAACUUU
This 294-nucleotide long non-coding RNA is filed under the name Nicotiana benthamiana. RNAcentral describes it as "long non-coding RNA (NBEN_LNC019899)". Lineage: Eukaryota; Viridiplantae; Streptophyta; Magnoliopsida; Solanales; Solanaceae. The record is from RNAcentral.